This 1252-nucleotide ribosomal RNA is filed under the name Acinetobacter lwoffii. Its description in RNAcentral is "bacterial SSU rRNA". It matches the Rfam family "Bacterial small subunit ribosomal RNA", at positions 97 to 1344 of the family's 1533-position model. The record is from RNAcentral. Lineage: Bacteria; Pseudomonadati; Pseudomonadota; Gammaproteobacteria; Moraxellales; Moraxellaceae.
GGCGGACGGGUGAGUAAUGCUUAGGAAUCUGCCUAUUAGUGGGGGACAACAUCUCGAAAGGGAUGCUAAUACCGCAUACGUCCUACGGGAGAAAGCAGGGGAUCUUCGGACCUUGCGCUAAUAGAUGAGCCUAAGUCGGAUUAGCUAGUUGGUGGGGUAAAGGCCUACCAAGGCGACGAUCUGUAGCGGGUCUGAGAGGAUGAUCCGCCACACUGGGACUGAGACACGGCCCAGACUCCUACGGGAGGCAGCAGUGGGGAAUAUUGGACAAUGGGGGGAACCCUGAUCCAGCCAUGCCGCGUGUGUGAAGAAGGCCUUUUGGUUGUAAAGCACUUUAAGCGAGGAGGAGGCUACUCUAGUUAAUACCUAGGGAUAGUGGACGUUACUCGCAGAAUAAGCACCGGCUAACUCUGUGCCAGCAGCCGCGGUAAUACAGAGGGUGCAAGCGUUAAUCGGAUUUACUGGGCGUAAAGCGCGCGUAGGUGGCCAAUUAAGUCAAAUGUGAAAUCCCCGAGCUUAACUUGGGAAUUGCAUUCGAUACUGGUUGGCUAGAGUAUGGGAGAGGAUGGUAGAAUUCCAGGUGUAGCGGUGAAAUGCGUAGAGAUCUGGAGGAAUACCGAUGGCGAAGGCAGCCAUCUGGCCUAAUACUGACACUGAGGUGCGAAAGCAUGGGGAGCAAACAGGAUUAGAUACCCUGGUAGUCCAUGCCGUAAACGAUGUCUACUAGCCGUUGGGGCCUUUGAGGCUUUAGUGGCGCAGCUAACGCGAUAAGUAGACCGCCUGGGGAGUACGGUCGCAAGACUAAAACUCAAAUGAAUUGACGGGGGCCCGCACAAGCGGUGGAGCAUGUGGUUUAAUUCGAUGCAACGCGAAGAACCUUACCUGGUCUUGACAUAGUAAGAACUUUCCAGAGAUGGAUUGGUGCCUUCGGGAACUUACAUACAGGUGCUGCAUGGCUGUCGUCAGCUCGUGUCGUGAGAUGUUGGGUUAAGUCCCGCAACGAGCGCAACCCUUUUCCUUAUUUGCCAGCGGGUUAAGCCGGGAACUUUAAGGAUACUGCCAGUGACAAACUGGAGGAAGGCGGGGACGACGUCAAGUCAUCAUGGCCCUUACGACCAGGGCUACACACGUGCUACAAUGGUCGAUACAAAGGGUUGCUACCUAGCGAUAGGAUGCUAAUCUCAAAAAGCCGAUCGUAGUCCGGAUUGGAGUCUGCAACUCGACUCCAUGAAGUCGGAAUCGCUAGUAAUCG